UGGCUCAGGAUGAACGCUGGCGGUAUGCUUAACACAUGCAAGUCGAACGGUCUUUUCGGAGAUAGUGGCGGACGGGUGAGUAACGCGUGAGAAUCCGCAUUCAGGUCGGGGACAACCACUGGAAACGGUGGCUAAUACCGGAUGUGCCGAGAGGUAAAAGGCUUGCCGCCUGGAAAUGAGCUCGCGUCUGAUUAGCUAGUAGGUGUGGUAAAGGCGCACCUAGGCGACGAUCAGUAGCUGGUCUGAGAGGAUGAUCAGCCACACUGGGACUGAGACACGGCCCAGACUCCUACGGGAGGCAGCAGUAGGGAAUUUUCCGCAAUGGGCGAAAGCAUGACGGAGCAAUACCGCGUGAGGGAGGAAGGCUCUUGGGUUGUAAACCUCUUUUCUCAGGGAAGAAGAUCUGACGGUACCUGAGGAAUAAGCAUCGGCUAACUCCGUGCCAGCAGCCGCGGUAAUACGGAGGAUGCAAGCGUUAUCCGGAAUGAUUGGGCGUAAAGGGUCCGCAGGUGGCUAUGUAAGUCUGCUGUUAAAGAAUGAGGCUUAACCUCAUCAGAGCAGUGGAAACUACACAGCUAGAGUGCGUUCGGGGGUAGAGGGAAUUCCUGGUGUAGCGGUGAAAUGCGUAGAUAUCAGGAAGAACACCAGUGGCGAAAGCGCUCUACUAGGCCGCAACUGACACUGAGGGACGAAAGCUAGGGGAGCGAAUGGGAUUAGAUACCCCAGUAGUCCUAGCCGUAAACGAUGGAUACUAGGCGUGGCUUGUAUCGACCCGAGCCGUGCCGGAGCUAACGCGUUAAGUAUCCCGCCUGGGGAGUACGCACGCAAGUGUGAAACUCAAAGGAAUUGACGGGGGCCCGCACAAGCGGUGGAGUAUGUGGUUUAAUUCGAUGCAACGCGAAGAACCUUACCAAGACUUGACAUGUCGCGAAUCCUGCCGAAAGGUGGGAGUGCCUUCGGGAGCGCGAACACAGGUGGUGCAUGGCUGUCGUCGGCUCGUGUCGUGAGAUGUUGGGUUAAGUCCCGCAACGAGCGCAACCCUCGUUUUUAGUUGCCAGCAUGAAGAUGGGCACUCUAGAGAGACUGCCGGUGACAAACCGGAGGAAGGUGGGGAUGACGUCAAGUCAGCAUGCCCCUUACGUCUUGGGCUACACACGUACUACAAUGCUACGGACAAAGGGCAGCGACACAGCGAUGUGAAGCAAAUCUCAUAAACCGUAGCUCAGUUCAGAUCGCAGGCUGCAACUCGCCUGCGUGAAGUAGGAAUCGCUAGUAAUUGCAGGUCAGCAUACUGCAGUGAAUUCGUUCCCGGGCCUUGUACACACCGCCCGUCACACCAUGGAAGCUGGUCACGCCCGAAGUCGUUACCCCAAC
RNAcentral lists this ribosomal RNA (1374 nucleotides) under metagenome. RNAcentral's name for it is "bacterial SSU rRNA". It matches the Rfam family "Bacterial small subunit ribosomal RNA". The record is from RNAcentral.